Molecule: transfer RNA, 65 nt
Filed under: Haemaphysalis sulcata
Lineage: Eukaryota; Metazoa; Arthropoda; Arachnida; Ixodida; Ixodidae
Description: tRNA-Ile
Source: RNAcentral
AGUAAAAUGCCUGAGAUUAAAGGACUAUCUUGAUAGGAUAAAUUACGUAUGCUAUACUUUUACUA